CCUACGGGUGGCAGCAGUGGGGAAUCUUGCACAAUGGGGGCAACCCUGAUGCAGCGACGCCGCGUGAGCGAUGAAGCCCUUCGGGGUGUAAAGCUCUUUCGACAGGGAAGCGGUACCUGCAGAAGCAGCUGCGGCUAACUACGUGCCAGCAGCCGCGGUAAUACGUAGGCAGCAAGCGUUGUUCGGAGUUACUGGGCGUAAAGGGUGCGUAGGCGGUCCUGUAAGUAUGGUGUGAAAUCUCCCGGCUUAACUGGGAGGGUGCGCUAUAAACUGCGGGACUAGAGUGUGGGAGAGGAAAGUGGAAUUCCUGGUGUAGCGGUGAAAUGCGUAGAUAUCAGGAGGAACACCGGUGGUGUAAGCGGCUUUCUGGACAUACUGACGCUGAGGCACGAAAGCGUGGGUAGCAAACAGGAUUAGAUACCCUUGUAGUC
RNAcentral lists this ribosomal RNA (431 nucleotides) under uncultured bacterium. Its description in RNAcentral is "partial 16S ribosomal RNA". It matches the Rfam family "Bacterial small subunit ribosomal RNA", at positions 338 to 795 of the family's 1533-position model. The record is from RNAcentral.